GAAAGCCUGACGGAGCAACGCCGCGUGAGUGAUGAAGGUCUUCGGAUCGUAAAACUCUGUUAUUAGGGAAGAACAUAUGUGUAAGUAACUGUGCACAUCUUGACGGUACCUAAUCAGAAAGCCACGGCU
RNAcentral lists this ribosomal RNA (129 nucleotides) under uncultured eubacterium A1-B1. RNAcentral's name for it is "partial 16S ribosomal RNA". It matches the Rfam family "Bacterial small subunit ribosomal RNA", at positions 377 to 498 of the family's 1533-position model. The record is from RNAcentral.